RNAcentral lists this long non-coding RNA (283 nucleotides) under Zostera marina. RNAcentral's name for it is "long non-coding RNA (ZMAR_LNC001401)". The record is from RNAcentral. Lineage: Eukaryota; Viridiplantae; Streptophyta; Magnoliopsida; Alismatales; Zosteraceae.
CCUUGAACUUUGCGUCGAGUUGGUUGUAUCUCUCUUGAAUCUUCUCGACGUCAUGGAUAGAGUCUCCAUGAUAACAAGCAUGUGCCAUGUAACAUGCGGCAUUCAUAUGCUUCAACAGUUCACUCCGGCACCAAGUCCCAGGAUGCCCCAAGAGGAGUGACAUCGCUUCCCUUCUAGUUUCAGUACUAGCCACAAAGUCGGGAAGGGUCACUCCGGCAGAAGUGUAAGGCUCAUAGCCCCUGGGAGGUGGAGGUGCAGAGCGAGAGCUCGACCCAUGCUCAAA